RNAcentral lists this ribosomal RNA (247 nucleotides) under Escherichia coli. RNAcentral's name for it is "partial 16S ribosomal RNA". It matches the Rfam family "Bacterial small subunit ribosomal RNA", at positions 87 to 337 of the family's 1533-position model. The record is from RNAcentral. Lineage: Bacteria; Pseudomonadati; Pseudomonadota; Gammaproteobacteria; Enterobacterales; Enterobacteriaceae.
GCUGACGAGUGGCGGACGGGUGAGUAAUGUCUGGGAAACUGCCUGAUGGAGGGGGAUAACUACUGGAAACGGUAGCUAAUACCGCAUAACGUCGCAAGACCAAAGAGGGGGACCUUCGGGCCUCUUGCCAUCGGAUGUGCCCAGAUGGGAUUAGCUAGUAGGUGGGGUAACGGCUCACCUAGGCGACGAUCCCUAGCUGGUCUGAGAGGAUGACCAGCCACACUGGAACUGAGACACGGUCCAGACU